GAAAAAAAAUAUAAAUUACAAAUUAACCCCUAAGUUAUGCCGAAAACUACAGGUCAAUACCCGCAUUUUUUAUAAAAAUAAUUUAGUCCUUCAAGUUUUAUUCUGUCAACACAUUAGUCCUUCUGUUCAAAUGUCAAAAACUAUAAAUCAGUCCCUAUAUUUUUCAUAAAAAACAAUUUAAUCCUUUAGGUUUUAUUCUUUCAACACAUUAGUCUUGUUCAAAUCACACUCAAAUUGUCGUUAGUCAGCACAAGAUCUAAGCAAUCAAUGAAAUCCUAAAAUUUAAUGCCAUAAAUUCCCAUAGAAAAGGCAGGAAACGCAAGGGAAUGCACCAAACAACAUAAAGAACAUCAAUGUUAUACAUCAAACUGCAUCAACAUUUAAUUGAGAAAAUACUGCAAAUCAAUUCUAAGACUUUGGGAUUAUAGAAAACAAUU
RNAcentral lists this unclassified non-coding RNA (437 nucleotides) under Hevea brasiliensis (rubber tree). The record is from RNAcentral. Lineage: Eukaryota; Viridiplantae; Streptophyta; Magnoliopsida; Malpighiales; Euphorbiaceae.